AUUGAACGCUGGCGGCAGGCCUAACACAUGCAAGUCGAGCGGAUGAAGGGAGCUUGCUCCUGGAUUCAGCGGCGGACGGGUGAGUAAUGCCUAGGAAUCUGCCUUGUAGUGGGGGAUAACGUCCGGAAACGGGCGCUAAUACCGCAUACGUCCUGAGGGAGAAAGUGGGGGAUCUUCGGACCUCACGCUAUCAGAUGAGCCUAGGUCGGAUUAGCUAGUUGGUGGGGUAAAGGCCUACCAAGGCGACGAUCCGUAACUGGUCUGAGAGGAUGAUCAGUCACACUGGAACUGAGACACGGUCCAGACUCCUACGGGAGGCAGCAGUGGGGAAUAUUGGACAAUGGGCGAAAGCCUGAUCCAGCCAUGCCGCGUGUGUGAAGAAGGUCUUCGGAUUGUAAAGCACUUUAAGUUGGGAGGAAGGGCAGUAAGUUAAUACCUUGCUGUUUUGACGUUACCAACAGAAUAAGCCCCGGCUAACUUCGUG
Molecule: ribosomal RNA, 484 nt
Filed under: uncultured bacterium
Lineage: Bacteria
Description: partial 16S ribosomal RNA
Rfam family: Bacterial small subunit ribosomal RNA
Source: RNAcentral